GAUGAACGCUAGCGACAGGCUUAACACAUGCAAGUCGAGGGGCAGCGGAAUUGUAGCAAUACAAUUGCCGGCGACCGGCGCACGGGUGAGUAACGCGUAUGCAACCUGCCUAUCAGAGGGGGAUAGCCCAUCGAAAGAUGGAUUAAUACCGCAUAAAACAGGGAUCCCGCAUGGGAAUAUUUGUUAAAGAUUAAUUGCUGAUAGAUGGGCAUGCGUUCCAUUAGUUAGUUGGUAAGGUAACGGCUUACCAAGACAUCGAUGGAUAGGGGUUCUGAGAGGAAGGUCCCCCACACUGGUACUGAGACACGGACCAGACUCCUACGGGAGGCAGCAGUGAGGAAUAUUGGUCAAUGGGCGAGAGCCUGAACCAGCCAAGUCGCGUGAAGGAUGACUGCCCUAUGGGUUGUAAACUUCUUUUAUAGGGGAAUAAAAAGGAGCACGUGUGCUCUAUUGUAUGUACCCUAUGAAUAAGCAUCGGCUAACUCCGUGCCAGCCGCCGCCGUAACAC
This 508-nucleotide ribosomal RNA is filed under the name uncultured bacterium. RNAcentral describes it as "bacterial SSU rRNA". It matches the Rfam family "Bacterial small subunit ribosomal RNA", at positions 28 to 526 of the family's 1533-position model. The record is from RNAcentral.